GAAGAGCAGCGAAAGCACGCUCAGCCAAUCCUCACUCGACGGCUCCGUCCUUGCUUAGAAAAAAGAAAGCCAAACCACUCGCAGAUGGAUCUUUUUUUCUAG
RNAcentral lists this ribosomal RNA (102 nucleotides) under Triticum aestivum (bread wheat). Its description in RNAcentral is "partial small subunit ribosomal RNA". The record is from RNAcentral. Lineage: Eukaryota; Viridiplantae; Streptophyta; Magnoliopsida; Poales; Poaceae.